RNAcentral lists this ribosomal RNA (1055 nucleotides) under Salmonella enterica. RNAcentral describes it as "bacterial SSU rRNA". It matches the Rfam family "Bacterial small subunit ribosomal RNA", at positions 1 to 1045 of the family's 1533-position model. Lineage: Bacteria; Pseudomonadati; Pseudomonadota; Gammaproteobacteria; Enterobacterales; Enterobacteriaceae. The record is from RNAcentral.
AAAUUGAAGAGUUUGAUCAUGGCUCAGAUUGAACGCUGGCGGCAGGCCUAACACAUGCAAGUCGAACGGUAACAGGAAGCAGCUUGCUGCUUCGCUGACGAGUGGCGGACGGGUGAGUAAUGUCUGGGAAACUGCCUGAUGGAGGGGGAUAACUACUGGAAACGGUGGCUAAUACCGCAUAACGUCGCAAGACCAAAGAGGGGGACCUUCGGGCCUCUUGCCAUCAGAUGUGCCCAGAUGGGAUUAGCUAGUUGGUGAGGUAACGGCUCACCAAGGCGACGAUCCCUAGCUGGUCUGAGAGGAUGACCAGCCACACUGGAACUGAGACACGGUCCAGACUCCUACGGGAGGCAGCAGUGGGGAAUAUUGCACAAUGGGCGCAAGCCUGAUGCAGCCAUGCCGCGUGUAUGAAGAAGGCCUUCGGGUUGUAAAGUACUUUCAGCGGGGAGGAAGGUGUUGUGGUUAAUAACCGCAGCAAUUGACGUUACCCGCAGAAGAAGCACCGGCUAACUCCGUGCCAGCAGCCGCGGUAAUACGGAGGGUGCAAGCGUUAAUCGGAAUUACUGGGCGUAAAGCGCACGCAGGCGGUCUGUCAAGUCGGAUGUGAAAUCCCCGGGCUCAACCUGGGAACUGCAUUCGAAACUGGCAGGCUUGAGUCUUGUAGAGGGGGGUAGAAUUCCAGGUGUAGCGGUGAAAUGCGUAGAGAUCUGGAGGAAUACCGGUGGCGAAGGCGGCCCCCUGGACAAAGACUGACGCUCAGGUGCGAAAGCGUGGGGAGCAAACAGGAUUAGAUACCCUGGUAGUCCACGCCGUAAACGAUGUCUACUUGGAGGUUGUGCCCUUGAGGCGUGGCUUCCGGAGCUAACGCGUUAAGUAGACCGCCUGGGGAGUACGGCCGCAAGGUUAAAACUCAAAUGAAUUGACGGGGGCCCGCACAAGCGGUGGAGCAUGUGGUUUAAUUCGAUGCAACGCGAAGAACCUUACCUGGUCUUGACAUCCACGGAAGUUUUCAGAGAUGAGAAUGUGCCUUCGGGAACCGUGAGACAGGUGCUGCA